CUACGGGGGGCUCCAGUGAGGAAUAUUGGACAAUGGGGGAAACCCUGAUCCAGCAAUGCCGCGUGAAUGAAGAAGGCCUUAGGGUUGUAAAGUUCUUUCACCCGUGAAGAUGAUGACGGUAACGGGAGAAGAAGCCCCGGCUAACUCUGUGCCAGCAGCCGCGGUAAGACAGAGGGGGCUAGCGUUGUUCGGAAUAACUGGGCGUAAAGGGUGCGUAGGCGGUUGUUUAAGUAAAGUGUUAAAGCUCUGGGCUCAACCCAGGAAUCGCAUUUUAAACUGGACAGCUAGAGUGUGGUAGAGGAAAGUGGAAUUUCUAGUGUAGAGGUGGAAUUCGUAGAUAUUAGAAGGAACACCAGAGGCGAAGGCGGCUUUCUGGACCACAACUGACGCUGAGGCACGAAAGCGUGGGGAGCAAACAGGAUUAGAUACCCCUGUAGUC
Molecule: ribosomal RNA, 439 nt
Filed under: uncultured bacterium
Lineage: Bacteria
Description: partial 16S ribosomal RNA
Rfam family: Bacterial small subunit ribosomal RNA
Source: RNAcentral